AGAGCUGGUUGGGCAGUCGCCUGGAUUACGGUUCAGGAGGAAAGUCCGGGCUCCAGGGGCAAGGUGCCAGGUAACGCCUGGGCGGCGCGAGCUGACGGAAAGUGCAACAGAAAGUAUACCGCCUGAAAGUUUCGUCCAGACUCUGGACGGUAUAGGCUACAGGUAAGGGUGAAAUGGUGUGGUAAGAGCGCACCGCGAUUUCGGUAACGAAUUCGGCAUUGUAAACCCCACCUGGAGCAAGACCAAAUAGAAGUCCGAUAACGCGGCCCUCGUUGGACUUGGGUAGGUCGCUUGAGUCUCGCAGUGAUGUGAGUCCUAGAUGAAUGGCUGCCAUCGAUUGCAAAAUCGUACAGAACCCGGCUUAUAGACCGGCUCUUUUC
RNAcentral lists this RNase P RNA (380 nucleotides) under Gammaproteobacteria bacterium. RNAcentral describes it as "RNase P RNA component class A". It matches the Rfam family "Bacterial RNase P class A". From Rfam's summary of the family: Ribonuclease P (RNase P) is a ubiquitous endoribonuclease, found in archaea, bacteria and eukarya as well as chloroplasts and mitochondria. Lineage: Bacteria; Pseudomonadati; Pseudomonadota; Gammaproteobacteria. The record is from RNAcentral.